This 1406-nucleotide long non-coding RNA is filed under the name Carassius auratus (goldfish). RNAcentral's name for it is "lncRNA (ENSCARG00000024151.1)". The record is from RNAcentral. Lineage: Eukaryota; Metazoa; Chordata; Actinopteri; Cypriniformes; Cyprinidae.
GGCAGGGUCAGGUUAUGGAACAGGAAGUGAAAACCCUAUUAGAGAAGGAGGCCAUCGAGGUGGUCCCUCCUCAAGACAGGGAGUCUGGAUUUUACAACCGGUAUUUCAUAGUUCCCAAGAAGGAUGGGGGGCUGCGUCCGAUUAUAGACUUGAGGGUCUUAAAUCGUUCAGUUAAGAGACUAAAAUUCAGAAUGCUCACAAUCAAGCAAGUUGUAGUGCAGAUCAGGUCCGAGGACUGGUUUGUCACAAUAGAUCUCAAAGACGCAUAUUUUCACAUAUCCAUCCUUCCACAUCACAGGAAGUUUCUGAGGUUCGCUUUCGGGGGCGAAGCUUACCAAUAUCGAGUACUUCCCUUCGGCCUUGCACUCUCACCCCGCACGUUCACAAAAUGUGUAGACGCGGCUCUGGUCCCCCUGCGCAUGCAGGGCAUCCGCAUUCUCAACUAUAUCGACGAUUGGUUGAUCUUAGCUCAGUCAGAGCAGGCUGCGGUUCGGCAUCGAGAUGUCGUCCUCGCACAUACGGGGGAGCUGGGUUUGAGACUGAAUGCCAAGAAGAGUGUGCUUUCUCCGGUUCAGAGAACCACCUAUCUAGGCGUAGUAUGGGAUUCGACCACGAUGCAGGCACGAUUGUCCCCUGCUCGUAUCGAGUCGAUCCGCAUCUCAGUCGAGAGAGUCAAAGAAGGCCAGUCACUCACUGUCAAACAAUUUCAGAGAUUGUUGGGUCUGAUGGCAGCUGCGUCCAACGUGAUACCUCUUGGCCUGCUGUACAUGAGGCCCCUGCAGUGGUGGCUCAAGACCAAGGGAUUUUCCCCGAGGGGCAAUCUACUUCGCACUAUCAAGGUCACGCGGCGUUGCCUACGUGCCUUAGAUGUAUGGAAGAAACCUUGGUUCUUGAAACAGGGCCCGGUGCUGGGAGCUCUUUGUCACCGUGUAACGCUAGCGACAGAUGCAUCCCUCACUGGUUGGGGUGCAGUCAUGAGUGGCCACCCUGCCCGUGGUCUGUGGAGCGAUCGCCAUCGAACAUGGCAUAUCAAUUGUCUAGAAAUGCUAGCAGUUUUUCGUGCACUGAAGCACUUCCUCCCAGACCUAAGGGGUCACCAUGUGUUGGUGCGCACCGACAACACAUCGGUGGUCUCCUAUAUCAACCACCAGGGAGGUCUGCGUUCGCGCCCUUUGUACAAGCUGGCGCACCAGAUCCUGGUGUGGUCCCAGAGCAAACUCCUCUCACUAAGAGCAGUAUAUAUUCCUGGGAAACAAAAUGUGGGAGCAGACAUACUGUCGAGGCAGGGGCCGAGGCCCGGGGAAUGGAAACUUCACCCACAAGUAGUGAAGCAGAUAUGGAGAAUAUUUGCUCUCCGUGGGAGAUACCGAUCAGGACAGACCUUCUGUCGCAGGCGCAGGGUACGA